GACGAACGCUGGCGGCGUGCUUAACACAUGCCAGUCGAACGGGAUCCGGGCUUUCGGGUUUGGUGAGAGUGGCGAACGGGUGAGUAACACGCGAGUAACCUGCCCCCUUCUUUGGGAUAACGUCGGGAAAUCGGCGCUAAUACUGGAUAUUCUUGCUGCAUCGCCUGGUGUGGUUUGGAAAGGGUUUCUGGUGGGGGAUGGGUUCGCGGCCUAUCAGCUUGUGGGUGGGGUGAUGGCCUACCAAGGCUUUGACGGGUAGCCGGCCGGAGAGGGUCUCCGGCGGCACUGGGACUGGGACACGGCCCAGACGGCUACGAGAAGCAGCGGAGGGGAAGAUAGGGCAAUGAGCGCAAGCCUGAUGCAGCGACGCCGCGUGAGAGAUGACGGCAUUCGGGUUGUAAGCCACUUGCAGUAUGGAACAAGGAUCCUUCGUGUGGAGGGUUUGAGGGUACGUGCAGAAGAAGCGCCGGCUAACUACGUG
Molecule: ribosomal RNA, 481 nt
Filed under: uncultured bacterium
Lineage: Bacteria
Description: partial 16S ribosomal RNA
Rfam family: Bacterial small subunit ribosomal RNA
Source: RNAcentral